GACGUAGGGUGCGAGCGUUGUCCGGAUUUAUUGGGCGUAAAGAGCUCGUAGGCGGCUCGUCGCGUCAGCUGUGAAAACCCGCGGCUUAACUGUGGGCUUGCAGCUGAUACGGGCGGGCUAGAGUUCGGUAGGGGAGACUGGAAUUCCUGGUGUAGCGGUGAAAUACGCAGAUAUCAGGAGGAACACCGGUGGCGAAGGCGGGUCUCUGGGCCGAUACUGACGCUGAGGAGCGAAAGCGUGGGGAGCGAACAGG
This 253-nucleotide ribosomal RNA is filed under the name uncultured bacterium. RNAcentral describes it as "partial 16S ribosomal RNA". It matches the Rfam family "Bacterial small subunit ribosomal RNA", at positions 524 to 776 of the family's 1533-position model. The record is from RNAcentral.